CUACGGGACGCUCCAGUGAGGAAUUUUGCGCAAUGGGGGCAACCCUGACGCAGCAACGCCGCGUGAGUGAAGAAGGCCUUUGGGUCGUAAAGCUCUGUCAAUGGGGAAGAAGUUAUUAUGUGUUAAUAGCACAUUUUAUUGACGGUACCCAUGAAGGAAGCACCGGCUAACUCCGUGCCAGCAGCCGCGGUAAUACGGGGGGUGCAAGCGUUAUUCGGAAUUAUUGGGCGUAAAGGGCACGCAGGCGGUCCUGUCAGUCAGAUGUGAAAGCCCAGGGCUCAACCCUGGACGUGCAUUUGAAACAGCAGGACUUGAGUACGGGAGAGGAAAGGGGAAUUCCUGGUGUAGAGGUGAAAUUCGUAGAUAUCAGGAGGAACACCGGUGGCGAAGGCGCCUUUCUGGACCGAUACUGACGCUGAGGUGCGAAGGCGUGGGUAGCGAACGGGAUUAGAUACCCCAGUAGUC
This 465-nucleotide ribosomal RNA is filed under the name uncultured bacterium. Its description in RNAcentral is "partial 16S ribosomal RNA". It matches the Rfam family "Bacterial small subunit ribosomal RNA", at positions 339 to 795 of the family's 1533-position model. The record is from RNAcentral.